GACGAACGCUGGCGGCGUGCUUAACACAUGCAAGUCGAACGAAGUGGCGAACGGGUGAGUAACGCGUAAUCAACCUGCCCUUCAGAGGGGGACAACAGUUGGAAACGACUGCUAAUACCGCAUACUGAAGGAGGGGUUUGCGUCUGAUUAGCUAGUUGGGGGGGUAACGGCCCACCAAGGCGAGGAUCAGUAGCCGGUGUGCGAGGGUGAACGGCAAAAAUGGGACUGGAACACGGCCCAGAAUCCUACGGGGGGCAGCAGUGGGGAAACUUCGGCAAUGGACGAAAGUCUGACGGAGCAACGCCGCGGGAGUGAUGACGGCCUUCGGGUUGUAAAGCUCUGUUAAUCGGGACGCGGUACCGGAAUAGAAAGCCACGGCUAACUACGUGCCAGCAGCCGCGGUAAUUC
Molecule: ribosomal RNA, 408 nt
Filed under: uncultured bacterium
Lineage: Bacteria
Description: partial 16S ribosomal RNA
Rfam family: Bacterial small subunit ribosomal RNA
Source: RNAcentral